GAAAUGCGAUAAGUAAUGUGAAUUGCAGAAUUCAGUGAAUCAUCGAAUCUUUGAACGCACCUUGCGCUCCUUGGUAUUCCUUGGAGCAUGCCUGUUUGAGUAUCAUGAAAUCUUCAAAGUAAAUCUUUUGUUAACUCAAUUGGUUUCUACUUUGGUAUUGGAGGUCUUUGCAGCUUCACACCUGCUCGUCUUUGUUCAUUAGCUGGAUCUCAGUGUUAUGCUUGGUUCCACUCGGCGUGAUAAGUUAUCUAUCGCUGAGGACACUGUAAAAGGUGGCCAAGGUAAAUGCAGAUGAACCGCUUCUAAUAGUCCAUUGACUUGGACAAUACUUUUAUGAUCUGAUCUCAAAUCAGGUAGGACUACCCGCUGAACUUAAGC
This 378-nucleotide unclassified non-coding RNA is filed under the name plant metagenome. Its description in RNAcentral is "partial contains 5.8S ribosomal RNA, internal transcribed spacer 2, and large subunit ribosomal RNA". The stretch from base 1 to 105 matches the Rfam family "5.8S ribosomal RNA", at positions 50 to 154 of the family's 154-position model. The record is from RNAcentral.